This 429-nucleotide ribosomal RNA is filed under the name uncultured archaeon. Its description in RNAcentral is "bacterial SSU rRNA". It matches the Rfam family "Archaeal small subunit ribosomal RNA", at positions 474 to 903 of the family's 1478-position model. The record is from RNAcentral.
UACCAGCUCUCCGAGUGGUGUGGAUGUUUAUUGGGCCUAAAGCAUCCGUAGCUGGCUGGACAAGUCCCCUGUUAAAUCCACCGAUUUAAUCGUUGGUGUGCGGGGGAUACUGUUCGGCUAGGGGACGGGAGAGGCCGACGGUAUUUCCGGGGUAGGGGUGAAAUCCUAUAAUCCCGGGAAGACCACCAGUGGCGAAGGCUGUCGGCUAGAACGCGCCCGACGGUGAGGGAUGAAAGCUGGGGGAGCGGACCGGAUUAGAUACCCGGGUAGUCCCAGCUGUAAACGAUGCAGGCUAGGUGUUUGGGCGGCCACGUGCCGCUCUAGUGCCGCAAGGAAGCUGUUAAGCCUGCCGCCUGGGGAGUACGGCCGCAAGGCUGAAACUUAAAGGAAUUGGCGGGGGAGCACCACAAGGGGUGAAGCUUGCGGUUU